GCCAGGUAUGGUGGCACAUGCCUGUAGUCCCAGCUACUUGGGAGGCUGAGGUGGGAGGAUUACUCGAGUCUAGGAGGUUGGGGCUGCAGUGAGCCAUGGUCAGGUCACUGCACUCCAGUCUGGGCGACAGAGCAAGACCCUGUCUCAA
Molecule: non-coding RNA, 148 nt
Organism: Pan troglodytes (chimpanzee)
Lineage: Eukaryota; Metazoa; Chordata; Mammalia; Primates; Hominidae
Rfam family: Metazoan signal recognition particle RNA
About the family: The signal recognition particle (SRP) is a universally conserved ribonucleoprotein.
Source: Rfam